This is a long non-coding RNA of Trifolium pratense (red clover), 647 nucleotides long. RefSeq lists it as uncharacterized. The transcript is spliced from 3 exons. The record is from RefSeq and is a predicted model, not a curated record. NCBI's taxonomy places the organism in Eukaryota, Viridiplantae, Streptophyta, Magnoliopsida, Fabales, Fabaceae.
AUCUGAAAAUCAUUUCAAGAAAUUGUUGAUAUAUUGGAAAGAUAGCAAUGUCCAAGCCAUUAGCCAAAAAAAUGCAGUUAAUAGGAGCAAGCAAAAGUUUAGGCAUCGUGUGGGACCAACGAACUUUGCUAGAAUUCGUGCAAAAAUGCGGGCUAAGAAGGAUGGAGAAGUCACCCAAGCUGAGGUGUUUAUUGAAACUCGCAAAAGUCGAAGAGGAAAAGAAGUUGAUGGAGAAACACAAGUUGCUCUAGUAAGUUAUAAAAUUCUAGUAUUCAUCCAAAAUACGUACAUAGUUUUUCAUUUUAUUUUUUAUACCGACAAUUUGUAUAAUUAGGACAAACUUCAAGAAUCUAUUGAUAAUUCACCUGAAACUGCCAAAGAAACAUUUCACUCACUAUUUGGGAAAGAAAAGCCUGGUAGUGUGCGUUGUCAUGGAAAAACUGCCACACCAUCAUCAUUAAGGAAAAAAGAAGAAAUUUCUUUAGUGAAAAAGCAAUAUGAUGGGAAAAUUGCUGACAUGUCACAGAAGAUGGGAGCAAUGGAAGUACUUUUAAAAAACAUGUACAUGCAACAAAAUCCACAUUUAAGUGAAGAAGAUGUAGAUAAUAUGAUUAGAAAUACUUUACAUGGUGAUGAUAAUAGUCCAA